UACGUAGGGGGCAAGCGUUGUCCGGAUUUAUUGGGCGUAAAGAGCUCGUAGGCGGUUCCGUAAGUCGUGAAGUCAAAUCUCUGGGCUCAACCCAGAAUCGCUUCUGAUACUGCGGUGACUGGAGUCCGGUAGGGGAGUGUGGAAUUCCUGGUGUAGCGGUGAAAUGCGCAGAUAUCAGGAGGAACACCAACAGCGAAGGCAGCACUCUGGGCCGGUACUGACGCUGAGGAGCGAAAGCAUGGGGAGCGAACAGG
Molecule: ribosomal RNA, 254 nt
Filed under: uncultured bacterium
Lineage: Bacteria
Description: partial 16S ribosomal RNA
Rfam family: Bacterial small subunit ribosomal RNA
Source: RNAcentral